This 499-nucleotide ribosomal RNA is filed under the name uncultured Glomeromycotina. RNAcentral describes it as "partial small subunit ribosomal RNA". It matches the Rfam family "Eukaryotic small subunit ribosomal RNA", at positions 591 to 1092 of the family's 1831-position model. The record is from RNAcentral. Lineage: Eukaryota; Fungi; Glomeromycota.
CCAAUAGCGUAUAUUAAAGUUGUUGCAGUUAAAAAGCUCGUAGUUGCAUUUCGGGAUCAGAUUGUCGGUCGUGCCUCGGUACGCACUGGCAUUAUUGGUUCCUACCUUCUGAAGAACCGCGAUGUCAUUAAUUUGGUGUCGCGGGGAAUCAGGACUGUUACUUUGAAAAAAUUAGAGUGUUUAAAGCAGGCGCACGCUUGAAUACAUUAGCAUGGAAUAAUGAAAUAGGACGUUUGAUUCUAUUUUGUUGGUUUCUAGGAUCGACGUAAUGAUUAAUAGGGAUAGUUGGGGGCAUUAGUAUUCAAUUGUCAGAGGUGAAAUUCUUGGAUUUAUUGAAGACUAACUACUGCGAAAGCAUUUGCCAAGGAUGUUUUCAUUAAUCAAGAACGAAAGUUAGGGGAUCGAAGACGAUCAGAUACCGUCGUAGUCUUAACCAUAAACUAUGCCGACUAGGGAUCGGAUGAUGUUGAUUUUAUAAUGACUCAUUCGGCGCCUUACG